CCGCAAGGCGGGAGACUUGAACUGAUUUAUGCCUCCAAGAAAAGCUUCUAGGGAGAUUUUAUGGUAUCCGUACCGCAAUCCGACACAGGUAGACUGGUUGAGCAUACUAAGGCGAACGAGUGAAUCGUGGCUAAGGAACUCGGCAAAUUACAUCCGUAACUUCGGGAAAAGGAUGCCCUGUCGAAAGGCAGGGGGCACAGAAAUGGCUUGAGCGACUGUUUAUCAAAAACACAGGUCUCUGCUUAACUCGCAAGAGGACGUAUAGGGGCCGACGCCUGCCCAGUGCCCGUAAGUUAAAUCCGGGGGUGAUUCUUAUUUAUAAGAUGAGCUCUUGGUAUAAGCUCGGGUGAACGGCAGCAGUAACUAUAACUGUUCAAAGGUAGCGUAAUCCCUCGCCGGUUAAUUGCCGGCCCGCACGAAAGGCGUAACGACUUGAGCACUGUCUUGGUCACGAGCUCGGUGAAAUUGAACUGCCGGUGAAGAUGCCGGCUACUCGUUGUUGGACAAAAAGACCCCGUGGAGCUUUACUACAGCUUGGCAUUGACAAGCGGUAUUGACUGUGUAGCGUAGGAGGGAGCUCUCUAUUUUCGAAUAGAAAGCGCCAAUGAAACACCUCUCUUUCACUAUUGUGAGUCUUACUACGUGCCGUGAUCCGGUGCGAGGACAAUGUCUGGUGGGUAGUUUAACUGGGGCGGUUUCCUGCUAAAAAGUAACGCAGGAGCACAAAGGUUCCCUUAUCGCCGAUGGAAAUGGCGAUGUAAGCGUAAAGGUAUAUGGGAGCUUGACUGCAAGACAUACAAGUCGAGCAGGUACGAAAGUAGGUCUUAAUGAUCUUCCGAGUCCUUAGUGGUAGGGCCGGAACUUAACGGAUAAAAGUUACCCCGGGGAUAACAGGCUAAUCUUGCCCGAGCGUCCAUAGCGGCGGCAAGGUUUGGCACCUCGAUGUCGUCUCGUCUCAUCCUGGGGCUGAAGCAGGUCCCAAGGGUCGGGCUGUUCUCCCGUUAAAGAGGCGCGUUAGAUGGGUUCAGAACGUCGUAAGACAGUUUGGUCUCUUUCCACAACGAGCGCAUUGGUUCUGAGGAAGGCUGUUCCUAGUACGAGAGGACCGGAAUGGACGAACCUCUAGUGUACCAGUUGUCACGCCAGUGGCAUCGCUGGGUAGCUACGUUCGGUUGGGAUAAGCGCUGAAAGCAUCUAAGCACGAAGCCCAUUCCAAGACUAGAACCAAAUUUCCCGCUUCGGCGGGAAGCAACUCCUGGGAGACUACCAGGUUGAUAGGCUGCAGGUGUAAGUACAGCAAUGUAUUCAGCCGAGCAGUACUAAUGUUUGCACAUCUUUAUAAC
This 1343-nucleotide ribosomal RNA is filed under the name marine sediment metagenome. RNAcentral describes it as "bacterial LSU rRNA". It matches the Rfam family "Bacterial large subunit ribosomal RNA", at positions 1575 to 2925 of the family's 2925-position model. The record is from RNAcentral.